Molecule: ribosomal RNA, 366 nt
Filed under: uncultured organism
Description: bacterial SSU rRNA
Rfam family: Bacterial small subunit ribosomal RNA
Source: RNAcentral
CGGAGGAUCCAAGCGUUAUCCGGAAUCAUUGGGUUUAAAGGGUCCGUAGGCGGGUUUAUAAGUCAGUGGUGAAAGCCCAUCGCUCAACGAUGGAACGGCCAUUGAUACUGUAGAUCUUGAAUUAUUAGGAAGUAACUAGAAUAUGUAGUGUAGCGGUGAAAUGCUUAGAGAUUACAUGGAAUACCAAUUGCGAAGGCAGGUUACUACUAAUGGAUUGACGCUGAUGGACGAAAGCGUGGGUAGCGAACAGGAUUAGAUACCCUGGUAGUCCACGCCGUAAACGAUGGAUACUAGCUGUUCGGAGCAAUCUGAGUGGCUAAGCGAAAGUGAUAAGUAUCCCACCUGGGGAGUACGUUCGCAAGAAUG